UUCGCUCACGCUUCGUGCACUCACGUUCGGUCGUUCGGUCUCCGGUGCAUCGGCUUCCGGCGAUAUCGCGUGCUAUAAACUGACGUCGUUCGUCCGUGUCACGCGGUCUUCCCGACAACGGAGACGGGACAAUUUAAGUGCGAUACUUUGGGACUGCAGUCCGAGAAUUUAUUGGAACGAUAAAGUCAAUUGUUUCAAAUUGAAAUAGAGUAUUCGCCGAUACGAUAUUGUACAUAUUAUUAUUUGCUGGUAACCGCCCACCGGAGCCGUGCACGUUUCAUGUUAUACAAGUAUACAACUAUAAUAUAAUAUUAUUAUUAUAAUAAUACAACGAAACAAAAGUCACGGAAUGGUUAUUUUGUGUUUUGUAACGUCUUCUUUAAUAUCUAUUUACAUUAUUAUUGUCUCCGUGGAGUGCUUUGUGUUUUGUCUGUCUGAGUUAUACGACCAUUCGGAUUUUUCUGCACUCAAUUUAUUACCUAUUUUUAAUAUAGAUUGGAUGGAUCCCAACCUUGAUCUGUGUCAUGUGAUCUUGCCCAAAAAGGGCGGGUGAUCACAUGACUUUUCAAAUGUCUUGAAUGUCGUUCUUUUGGCGAAUAAUCGAAUGGUCCGGACUGUAUGCCUAUUACGAGAGUCGAGAGAUCCUAUAAUAUAGAUACUGAUUAGGUAGCAGCAAACAAUCCAAUCUUUUCCCGCCUUUCUUAUGUUUGUUUGAAUUGAGUUAUGUUUUAAAAUUAUUGCAUAUUUUAUUUUAAAUGUAAACAUUUAACAUUCAAAAAUUAUAUUAAAUACAAUGAAUUAGCAUUAGAGGUUAUUAAUUGUAACUAUAGUUUGUAUGGUCAAAUAUUCAUGAUAUAUUUUAAUUUUAUUAUAUUUGAAAAAAAGUUGUUAUAAAAUUAUAGCUCAAUUUCGCAUGAUAUUCUACAUUUGAUUGUAUUAUUUAACGAUAAAUAACGCCUAUAGAUCAGUGAUAACAACCAACCAAUAGAAAACAUUUACCAGCAAACAACUAUUUUAUUAACUAGGCCCUCCAUUCAUUUAUGUCGAUAUAGCUUAUAAUUUUA
Molecule: long non-coding RNA, 1064 nt
Organism: Myzus persicae (green peach aphid)
Lineage: Eukaryota; Metazoa; Arthropoda; Insecta; Hemiptera; Aphididae
Exons: 3
Source: RefSeq, a predicted model, not a curated record